GUAGUGUCAUCAAAGGCAGGUUAAAAGAGAAAAUAGAUUUCAUGUGCAACAGGUGUACUGAGACAGUAAGCAUAAGAAUGCUUGGGAAAUAGAUACUCUCAAAUGCCCAUCAGCUCUCUAGAAGUAGUUGAUAGCUUUUGCUACUUAUGCGACGAAAUUAGCAGUAGAAGUGGAUGUUGCAAAAGAGUGGUAGCUAGAAUAAGAACAAGUUGGGGGAAGUUCAGGAAGCUACUAUCUUUGCAGGUAACAAAGGGCUUAUCCCUCUUGAUCAAGGGAAGAAUUUUUUAUGCUUGCAUGCAAAGUGCAUUGCUGCACAGCAGCAAGACAUGGACUUUCAGCAAAGAAGACAUGUGAAGAAAAGAAAGCAACUAAGCAGCAUGUUUCACUCACCAUCUAUCCUCUUAACAACUGUCUAUUCUAUACCAUCUCAUCUUCCCUUCAUCUCUUCUGCUCACUGUGCCACACCAACCAAACUGAGAGGAGAGGAUGGACCAAGAGACAGGCACCAAAUAAAUUAUUUGCAGAGUGUCUAAGCCUGGUAUGAGACAAAGAAAGACCAAAACUCUGGACCAACUGCUUGUAACAGAGUAGAGUCUGCUAAAGGUACCCAAGGAUUCAAUGGUGGUGCUAAACAGGAUAACAGAUCAGGUCUCAUCAUUAUCAUCAUCCUCAUCAUCAUUUAGCGUCUACUUUCCAUGCUGGCAUGAGUUAGAUGGUUUUACUGAAGCUAGUGAGCUGAAGGGUUGCACCAGGUUCCAAUCUGAUUUAGCAUGGUUACUAUAGCAGGAUGCCCUUCCUAACACUAACCACUCCAAGGGUGUAAUGGAUGCUUUUUACAUGCCACCAACAUGGAUGCCAGUUAUGUAACACUGACAUCAGCCAUGACUAUGAUUUCACUUGGCUUGAUGGGUUUUCUCAAGCACAGCAUAUCGCCAAAGGUUUCAGUCACUUAUCAUUGCCUCCAUAAGGCCCAAUGUUUAAAGAGUGCAUUUUACGUGCCACUAGCACUGGUGCCAGUUACAUGACACAAGCAUUGGCCAUGACUAUGAUUUCACUUGGCUUGAUGGGUCUUCUCAAGCACAGCAUAUCACCAAAGGGCUCGGUCACUUGUCACUGCCUCUAUAUGGCCCAAUGUUCGGAGAUCAUGCUUCACUACCUCGUCCCAUGUCUUCCUGGGUCUACUCCUUCCACAGUAAACAGAAACACUUCAGUAUGGCACCCCAUGACCAUAAUAUCUAAAACCCAAAAUGUUAUUAAAACUAUCAAGCCUAUAAUUUCAUAAACGAUUUGAAAACAAGACGUUAUCUUUGUAUAUCCCUUUAUCAUUGCUAACCACUUAUAUGACUCACCACCACUGCUACUGUCAAUGCCAGUUUAAUGUUCACUUUUCAUAUCUGCAUGGGUCAGAUAGAAUUUGUUGAAGCAAAUUUUUUUAUGGCUCGAUGCCCAUCCUGUCACCAACCCUCAACUGCUUUCAAGCAAGGUAAUAUUUCCAUAUGGCCAAACAUGUUUCCAUGAGAAGGCUGGGAAUGAAAGCAGGACUUGUAUGACAGUGAGGCUCGUUUAUAACUCAUGUAUGAUAUAAGGGCAAUGAGAAAUAACACCCUCCCUCACACACACACAUGCAUACACAAACACAUACAUGCACACAUAUAUACUUAUACAUAUGUAUGUGUAUGUAUGAUGAGUUCCUUUCAUUUUUCUACCAACCAAAUCCACUCACAAGGCUUUGGUUGGCCCAGGAUCUAGUAAAUACCAAAUAGUGAAGACUGAAAAACCAUGUGGUUGGCAAGCAAACUUCCUAACCACACAGCAAUGCCUGCACCUAUUUAUGUUUGUACCUAUAAUCUUUUGAUCUUAAUUUUUUCAUAUUAGCUUAAUCGUAGUUAUCCAUUUAAGACUAACAUUUCGUUUGUUUACCUCUGAAACAACUCAGCUAGAUCUUGUGGUAGAAUACUGAUAGAACUAAGUAGAUAAUACAGUAAUUUACCCAAAAAGAAAAUGUAUGUAACAAACAUAUUGGUUAUUUUCCUGAUGAAAUGGUUCUGGAGCGGACAUGUUAUAUUCUACUGAUUUAAUAAUGAUGAAUAUGUGAUUGUUUGAUGGAGAUUACAUAUUUUUUCAUGAAAUAGGAUUAGGCUUAAUCAAGUAUUAUUGUAGAGAACACGAAUAGUAAAUCAUUUAAAUAAGCACAGAUAAAAAUCAUAUUUAUAGCUAACAAAGUUUGCAAAUUAUUAAUAUACAAAAAUUACCUUCUUAAUGACUAAUAUAAACAUUAUUUGGAAAAUGUUCAAUAUAGAUUGAUAUUAGAGAUGGUAGAAAAAUGUUGUUUAUUGUGUGUAUCCAUUUUAAAAUAAAAUAUGUUAACGUAUUUUGAGAAAUUGAAGAUGAGUUUUAGAACAAGACAUUAUGACCCUGUAUAUUGUAAGAUGCAACUAAACUGUUUGGCUACAUGAAAGGCAUCUGGUCAUAAAAUACUGCUUCGGAGAACUUGUCCAAACAAUGAAAAAGUGAGGUAAAAUGAUAAUGUUAUUUGUGCAACAGCUUGUUCAUUACAAGCUUUUAUAAUCACACUUUUAAAAGAAUCAUCAUUGCUAAGAAUAUUCUCAAAGGAAUUUGAGCUUUUAAUUUGUGGAAAGAAAAAACAAGCCAAAUUAAUUAAAAAUUAGUUUUCAACUAAAAUGCAAACAUAAUGUAUCAUAGGAGUUUCUCAUUAAGAAUUAAAUGACUUCAUGAAAUAGAAUUUUUUUAAUAUUAUGUUGAAUAUAGAUUUUAUCAUAAAAAGAGCAGCUUUAUCUUUACAUUGGUAUAAAAUUAAAUAAGUCUAUAUCACAAUACAAACAUUAUUUUUAUUAUUAUUAUAUUUUAGCUUACUGAAUAACAUAUAGUGCUGGCUACACUUAAUUAGAUAAGUAUGAAAUAUCUCUUAUAUUUAAAGACAGCAGUUAAAUACAAAGAGUUAAACACAGUAAAAUGUGUUACUAUGGAUUCUGGUUAACCCUUUAGCAUUCGGAUUAUUCUGUCAAAUGUAAUGCUUAUUUAUUCACAAUGUUUCGAAAUAAUUAUGCAUUAUCUUGUAGCUUUGAGACUUCAAUGAUGUGAUUGUUUAUUUUUUGAAUGACAUUGUAGGGUAGCUGUUAAAGGCUUAAUCUUGCCAGUUUGAACAUAAUAUAGCUGGAAUAUUUGAGCCAGAUUGGCCAGUUUAAACACUAAAGGGUUAAAGCAAAAGAACACAUUCUAAUAACGUUUUUCAGAUAUUACACAAAUUUUGUUAUUUGAUCAGCAAGACACUGUGUGGUAUGAUUUGUGGGAGAUCUGGUUGCUACUUUUAUUAGGUUCAGUGAGCCUCUACAGGCUUUCUCACUUAGAGGUUCUCUCACCUUGAGAUUCUUUCACCUAGAGGCUCUGUCAUUGGCUUAAAAUGAUUUAGCAUAAAUAAUUUAGUUUGAGUCAAUCUGAAUUUAAAAUGUAAAAAUGUACAAUUAAUAAUAACACUCGAUAAAGAAUUUCCUACAUGAUUUGGUAACUAUGCUAAAGCAGACAGAUGAGCUUGUAGUCCUCUUGCCUGAUGGUUUCUGUCUAACCAGCCAACCCAUGCCAGCAUGGAAAGUGGAUAGUAAAUGAUGUUGAUGAUGGUAAUGAUGGUGAUUUUAAGAAAUUGCAAUAUAAAGAUCAAAUAUUUAGAAUUGAAUGUAGUUUGAAAAAAAGCUUGUGUUGAAUUUUACUGAAGACCAAAGAAAGUAACUUAAC
Molecule: long non-coding RNA, 3750 nt
Organism: Octopus bimaculoides (California two-spot octopus)
Lineage: Eukaryota; Metazoa; Mollusca; Cephalopoda; Octopoda; Octopodidae
Source: RefSeq, a predicted model, not a curated record